CUUCUUCUUUCGUCCUUCCCUGAGCUGACCGGGGAGUAAAAUAAAAAUAGUUGGCUGUCCCAUCAACAGGGGGUGUAACCCUCCCGCUGGUGGGAUGCCACUCGUACGUCACUAGCUCUCUGACGUAGGGGUGGCAUCUUUUGUCCGCUGUUGCUAUGUCUUCUAUCCAUCUAUCUUUCUUUCCGAUCUGUCGACCGAAGGUCCGGUCCAGCAAAGAAUAGACCCCAAAUCCCCGCAACGCGAGGCACCCCGUUGACCGUGGGGUGCGACCCGGCCUACUGCACUCAAUCGGUUGCGACUGGUUCAUAUUCCCUCCAAAUUAUCUUCUAUCUUUAAGAGAACUAAUAAACCUCAGAGACCAGCUCCCACAACCCUUCAUCAUGUUGGGAGAUUUUAAUGCCCAUAGCCCUCUUUGGGGAAAUGAACCAACUGAUACUAAAGGUAAAAUCAUAUAAGAUUUCUUAAUAAAAACCAAUACUAGUAUUUUUAACGACAAUUCCCCAACAUUUCAAAAUUCAAAUAACCUAAACUUUUCAUCCAUAGAUUUAACCCUUUGUGAUCCUGACCUAAUUCCAGACUUUCAGUGGUCGGUCCUGGACGACCCACACGGAUCGGACCACUUCCCCAUCAACCUAAUUCCAGAUAUUCCACACCGAACUCCUAUCCCAGACCGUUUCAAUCUUAAAAGAGCGGACUGGGAUGGGCUUCACAUGGAAUGUCUGGAGAAACUCAAUCCAUCUCAAACACAAACACAAACUUUUGAACGAUUUCACGAAACCCUUCUCGAGAUCGUUCAAAAACACAUACCAAAAUUAUCCACCAAACCCCGAAAAAAUAAAUGUUGGUUCACUGAAGACUGCCAAAAAGCUGUUGCGGCCAAAAAAUCAGCUCUCAGGAAGUUCGUCAACUCUAAAACUAACGAAGACCGCAUUAAUUUCAAAAUUGCGCAAGCCCAAGCACGCAGAAAAAUCAGAACAGCCAAGAAAAUAUCUUUUCGAAAUUAUGUCUCAAAAAUCAACAACACACCAAUGCACAAAGUCUGGAAGAUGAUAAAGAAAUUAAAAGGUACUAAAAAAGACACAAUCAAACACAUCCUUAAACCGAAUAACUCCUUCGUAGAGACCGAAAAAACAGUUGCUGACUGUAUAGCAUCAACUCUCUCCGGAAAUUCCUCUACCCACAAUUACAACCCUGAAUUCAAAAAAGUAAAAAUGUCUUCUGAAAAGACAACUGUUGAUUUUACCUCUUCAAAUGAAGAACACUAUAAUUGCAGCUUUUCUCUUAACGAAUUAAAAUGUAAUAUUGCAGAACUAUCAAACACAGCUCCAGGCCCUGAUCAAAUACACAACGAAAUCAUCAAACGUCUUCCAGACGAAACACUCC
This is a long non-coding RNA of Aplysia californica (California sea hare), 1383 nucleotides long. RefSeq lists it as uncharacterized. The transcript has 2 exons. The record is from RefSeq and is a predicted model, not a curated record. NCBI's taxonomy places the organism in Eukaryota, Metazoa, Mollusca, Gastropoda, Aplysiida, Aplysiidae.